UCCCUGGUGGUCUAGUGGUCAGGAUUUGAUGCUCUCACUGCUGUGACCUAGGUUCAAUUCCCAGUCAAGGAA
Transfer RNA from Alligator mississippiensis (American alligator), 72 nucleotides. It matches the Rfam family "tRNA". From Rfam's summary of the family: Transfer RNA (tRNA) molecules are approximately 80 nucleotides in length. Their secondary structure includes four short double-helical elements and three loops (D, anti-codon, and T loops). Further hydrogen bonds mediate the characteristic L-shaped molecular structure. tRNAs have two regions of fundamental functional importance: the anti-codon, which is responsible for specific mRNA codon recognition, and the 3' end, to which the tRNAs corresponding amino acid is attached (by aminoacyl-tRNA synthetases). tRNAs cope with the degeneracy of the genetic code in two manners: having more than one tRNA (with a specific anti-codon) for a particular amino acid; and 'wobble' base-pairing, i.e. permitting non-standard base-pairing at the 3rd anti-codon position. The record is from Rfam. Lineage: Eukaryota; Metazoa; Chordata; Crocodylia; Alligatoridae.